RNAcentral lists this ribosomal RNA (481 nucleotides) under bacterium T-1-0-9B. RNAcentral's name for it is "bacterial SSU rRNA". It matches the Rfam family "Bacterial small subunit ribosomal RNA", at positions 397 to 868 of the family's 1533-position model. The record is from RNAcentral.
CCGCGUGUGUGAAGAAGGCCUUUUGGUUGUAAAGCACUUUAAGCGAGGAGGAGGCUACCAGUAUUAAUACUACUGGGAUAGUGGACGUUACUCGCAGAAUAAGCACCGGCUAACUCUGUGCCAGCAGCCGCGGUAAUACAGAGGGUGCAAGCGUUAAUCGGAUUUACUGGGCGUAAAGCGUGCGUAGGUGGCCAAUUAAGUCAAAUGUGAAAUCCCCGAGCUUAACUAGGGAAUUGCAUUCGAUACUGGUUGGCUAGAGUAUGGGAGAGGAUGGUAGAAUUCCAGGUGUAGCGGUGAAAUGCGUAGAGAUCUGGAGGAAUACCGAUGGCGAAGGCAGCCAUCUGGCCUAAUACUGACACUGAGGUACGAAAGCAUGGGGAGCAAACAGGAUUAGAUACCCUGGUAGUCCAUGCCGUAAACGAUGUCUACUAGCCGUUGNGGCCUUUGAGGCUUUAGUGGCGCAGCUAACGCGAUAAGUAGA